AUUGAACGCUGGCGGCAGGCCUAACACAUGCAAGUCGAGCGGAUGAAGGGAGCUUGCUCCUGGAUUCAGCGGCGGACGGGUGAGUAAUGCCUAGGAAUCUGCCUGGUAGUGGGGGAUAACGUCCGGAAACGGGCGCUAAUACCGCAUACGUCCUGAGGGAGAAAGUGGGGGAUCUUCGGACCUCACGCUAUCAGAUGAGCCUAGGUCGGAUUAGCUAGUUGGUGGGGUAAAGGCCUACCAAGGCGACGAUCCGUAACUGGUCUGAGAGGAUGAUCAGUCAAACGGAAACGAGAACACGGUCAAGACCCCCAGGGGGGGAAGAAGGGGGGAAUUUGGGAAAAGGGGGAAAAGCCGAAUCCGGACAGGCCGGGGGGGUAAAAAAGGUUUUCGGAUUGAAAAGCCUUUUAAGUUGGGAGGAAGGGCAGUAAGUUAAUACCUUGCUGUUUUAACGUUACAAACAAAAAAAGCACCGGCUAACUUCGU
This 483-nucleotide ribosomal RNA is filed under the name uncultured bacterium. RNAcentral describes it as "partial 16S ribosomal RNA". It matches the Rfam family "Bacterial small subunit ribosomal RNA", at positions 29 to 506 of the family's 1533-position model. The record is from RNAcentral.